This 1154-nucleotide long non-coding RNA is filed under the name Pogona vitticeps (central bearded dragon). RNAcentral describes it as "lncRNA (ENSPVIG00000003643.1)". Lineage: Eukaryota; Metazoa; Chordata; Lepidosauria; Squamata; Agamidae. The record is from RNAcentral.
CUUUCAAGCCUCCCUUCUUGUUCCCCCUUAACAGACAAUCCAGACUGGAGGUUUUUGCUGUGCACCAUCCACCUUUACUUCGGACUCUGAUGAUAAUUGAUUAACAGGUAACGUUAUUUCUGUUCUCACCUUCUCCUUCAAUGGGGGGAUAAAAGGGACAAUAGACUAAGGCUGAACCCAAAGAAGGGGUCCUCUGACUGGGUGUCCCUGAUGUCUGUGGUUUGGGUGGUUCCCAACGCAUGCUGGCGUUGGUCCCAAUGCUGUCAGUGAACAACCAGAUAGUGCCCGUGCUCUGAAUCACCUCCCUCUUAGAUGACUUGUGCAGCUGGGUCCCUGCCUGGAUGCCCGCUCACUCCCCUGAUUGGUCCACACACAGAGAGUCUCAAGAAUAAUCUACAGUAAUUCUCUUUAUGUGGGACUUCCCUUGAGGCUGACAUGUGCUAUCCUCCAGUCCUCUGGCACUGUGACCAUUUUGUUAUGGGCCAAGCUUGCUAUCCAAUAUUUUAGCUCCAGCAAGAGGUCAGACAAGACACCAUCAACUGAACCAAAGUACAAUUUUUUUAGGAUGCAUUGCAAAGUCAUCCGGGACUUCUCUUAAAGGCAGAUAAGACCCCACUCUGAUGGUGUGGACAGUGCAGAAACAUGUGGGCAAGAGUUUCCAAUGCACCCUGCUUGCAUGAAGAAUGUCUUUCGAGGGAUUGCUGGUUUUUGGAUUUUCAAGAUCUGCUCUCUUCAGGCCCUGGACUGCACUGGGUCGGAGAUGAUGAAAUCCUUUGAUCCUUAAUGUCUGAGCUUCUCAGAGGCUAGGAAACCCAAGCCUUGGGAAGAUUUGGUUUUUCUGACUGAUGCAGAACAAAGGGAUAUAAAUAUUGGGAGACAUCUCACACAAAAUGUUAUUAGAAGGUAACAGAGAACUAUAAAUGUUUGGUUUCAUGAAGUAGAACAGACAAUGGAACUGAUGCCGGGUGAAAGUCCUUAGCAGAGUGGUAAAAUAACCGUGAACAAGUGACAGCCAGCAAUGGAUUUUACACAUGGCUGGGUGAGAAAAAAAUUCUGUUUGUUACCAAUACACUUAGAACCAAAUACAGUGGUGCCUCGCAUACCGAGCGCACCCUUUAACGAUGAAUCCGCUUAGCGAAGCGGAUUUUUCGAUC